CCAGCGACAGCACCGAGGCCACUCCCGAGGACAACCUGGCCCGGAUUUCUGUCCCCAUCCUCUACGAGCCCGACCUGUUCCUGUCCAGUGACACCAACCUGCAGCGCUACGAGGUUCAACCCCACGGCCCCGGCCCCGAGUUCAGCACCACGGUCAGGGUGCAGAAUUUGGGGUGUUACCCCGCGCACAACCUCACCCUGCACGUGGCGCUGCCGGCGCUGGGACACGGCCGGGCCACCCUCCUGUCGGUCACCCGCGUGCUGCCCGGGGACAACGCCACCUGCACGCUGCGACCCCCCCCC
This is a long non-coding RNA of Neopelma chrysocephalum (saffron-crested tyrant-manakin), 302 nucleotides long. RefSeq lists it as uncharacterized. The record is from RefSeq and is a predicted model, not a curated record. The transcript has 4 exons. NCBI's taxonomy places the organism in Eukaryota, Metazoa, Chordata, Aves, Passeriformes, Pipridae.